This 895-nucleotide long non-coding RNA is filed under the name Homo sapiens (human). RNAcentral describes it as "long non-coding RNA NONHSAT184794.1". Lineage: Eukaryota; Metazoa; Chordata; Mammalia; Primates; Hominidae. The record is from RNAcentral.
CCCCAAGAAGGGUGGUCUUCCAGGAGUCACUGAAAAUUUCAAGAAGUGAAAAUCCAACAGAAAAUAUUUGAACCCAGGAAUAAAAUAGAAGCCUGGAAGACUGAAGGAUAUACCAACUGACUACAUCAGAAAUAAUCUAGCAUCAUAUGUAAAGUCUACAAUAUUCAAUAGAGAACUCAAAAACAAAGCAACUAGGAUAAGACGAAAAUUAAACAUAAAAUUCUGAGCAGUCAAGUUAAAGGGGCCUGGUUGAUCCACUUCAGAUUCAUCCCCUGUUUUAUUAGAGGUUGAAAAAGGUUCAAGACCUGGUUGUACCACAGCUCCCACCGACAGCUAAGGAACCAGUUUGGCGUCUGGUUUGUCUGUUGUUUUACUGCUGACCUUCAAAUCAACUUUAACCCCUGACCUCUGGAGGCAUCUAUCAUGACAAGAGGCUGUUUAACACAAAUGGUGCCCAUUUAUAGGGGAAGAGACUCUGAAGAUUUCCUUUUUAUGAAGAAUUUAGUUUUUCACCCCUCUUUUCUCAGUCACCACAGGUGAAAUCCCUCUCAGCAGCUGGCUUAUGAAAUAAUGUGAAGGGAGGCCUUAAUGAGCAGAACGCACCCUCAGCUGGAGAUAAAUAUAUGCAAAUGAGAUGCACAAACAAAGAAGCCUGGACAGAGAAAUAUCUGCAAUUCCAGCAAAAUGCUGCCUGCAGCUCGAAGAUGAACAGCUUUGAUAAAAUGUGAGAAAUAUUACCACGCGUGCUGAUGCCUCAGACACACCAAUCUGCAACAAGCAACUAGGAUAAAAAAUAGUUAAAAGUGAAUCAACAUUUAUCUGGAAUAUACAGUCCUGACCCCCUUACGCACUCCCCCCCACCCCCCUCCCCGCAACACACAAAGUCAUUUGUCUU